RNAcentral lists this ribosomal RNA (301 nucleotides) under uncultured bacterium. RNAcentral's name for it is "partial 16S ribosomal RNA". It matches the Rfam family "Bacterial small subunit ribosomal RNA", at positions 509 to 809 of the family's 1533-position model. The record is from RNAcentral.
CAGUCGCCACGGUAAUACGUAGGGUGCAAGCGUUAAUCGGAAUUACUGGGCGUAAAGCGUGCGCAGGCGGUUCGCUAAGACAGAUGUGAAAUCCCCGGGCUUAACCUGGGAACUGCAUUUGUGACUGGCGGGCUAGAGUAUGGCAGAGGGGGGUAGAAUUCCACGUGUAGCAGUGAAAUGCGUAGAGAUGUGGAGGAAUACCGAUGGCGAAGGCAGCCCCCUGGGCCAAUACUGACGCUCAUGCACGAAAGCGUGGGGAGCAAACAGGAUUAGAUACCCCCGUAGUCCCUGUCUCUUAUAA